This 400-nucleotide ribosomal RNA is filed under the name uncultured Acidobacteriota bacterium. RNAcentral's name for it is "uncultured Acidobacteria bacterium partial 16S ribosomal RNA". The stretch from base 65 to 400 matches the Rfam family "Bacterial small subunit ribosomal RNA", at positions 1 to 322 of the family's 1533-position model. The record is from RNAcentral. Lineage: Bacteria; Pseudomonadati; Acidobacteriota.
CACUACGANNGUCCAUAGUGGCGACCCGCCCCCGUUCGCGUAUGCUCCCGGCCGCCAUGGGCGNNGGGCUCAGACUNCGACCCCAUUGCCAGUAUCCGCGCUGGCGGCGUGCCUAACACAUGCAAGUCGAACGCGAAAGUGGAGCAAUCCAUGAGUAGAGUGGCAAACGGGUGAGUAACGCGUGGGUGAGCGCCCGCCGAUUGGGGGAUAACGCUCCGAAAGGGACGCUAAUACCGCAUAACAUCCUGCCUCUUAAGAGGUGGAAAUCAAAGCCGGGGCCCGNAAGGUUUUUGGUGGCCCUAGGGGNNNGCCCCCCAUNANCCCCCCNGGAGGGGGAGCGGGCGCGNAAAGACCCCACCAGAACCCGCGCCCCCACGCCCCCCCGCCGCCGGGCGACCCA